CUCUGUGAAGAGGCAGGGAUAACGUAAAAACAAGAAGACCCUACAGAGCUUUAAUUUAUUAACCCACUUAGUAAUACUAUUACCCCAUUGGGAAAAACAAAUGGACCCCUGAGUUAAGAAUUUCAGUUGGGAUGACCUGGAAUGACAAUGACCUGGACACUUACAGUAAGGGUACAAGUGAACAAGUCAUUAAUUGGCCCAAUUAUAUUUGAUCAACAGACCAAAUCUAGGGAUAUCAGUGCAAUCUUAGAGUCCAUAUCAGCAAUAAGGUUUAUGACCUGGACGUUGGAUCAGAGCAUCUUCAUGCUAUAACCAACAUUAAGGGCUCAUUUGCUCAAGGAUUAAAGUCCUCCAUGAACUAGAUUCAGACCAGAGUAACCCAGGUAGGUUUCUAUCUAUUAUUUG
This 405-nucleotide non-coding RNA is filed under the name Heterocephalus glaber (naked mole-rat). RNAcentral describes it as "Bacterial large subunit ribosomal RNA". It matches the Rfam family "Bacterial large subunit ribosomal RNA", at positions 2049 to 2651 of the family's 2925-position model. The record is from Rfam by way of RNAcentral. Lineage: Eukaryota; Metazoa; Chordata; Mammalia; Rodentia; Bathyergidae.